Molecule: long non-coding RNA, 666 nt
Filed under: Homo sapiens (human)
Lineage: Eukaryota; Metazoa; Chordata; Mammalia; Primates; Hominidae
Description: HSALNT0311588
Source: RNAcentral
CCGGAAGCCCGUUCAAACUGUAUAAGGGUGAUCAGCUAUCACGGAGAAGGCUUUAGCAAGUCGGGGCCAGUGGCGCAAUGGAUAACGCGUCUGACUACGGAUCAGAAGAUUCUAGAAGCCCAUGGAAACAAGGCGAUGACGGCGCUUGAGGGUGACCAGACCUCCUCAAUCAUUCCAUCAGCCACCCAGGACUCAACAGCAGAACCUCAGAGGACUCAGCUGAAAGAGGUUUUCACUCGAGCACUAACCACAGAGAAAUGGGAAGUGCCAUCCUGCUGUCAUACGCAGCCGAUGGCUGGGUAGGACUAAAUGCCCUUCUGUGGUGAGAUGAACCAAGACGGCAGAUGGGGGAAUAACAUCAGUGAGAGAGAGAUUACGAAUGGAUCCUUGUAUUGCAGAUCAAACUGGGUUGUCUCUUCUCAAACCACCCAGGCAGUUUCUGAAUGUCCCAAGAUAGGGGUAGGAGAAAAGAAAAAAAAGACAAAACAGGAGACGGUGGGUAAGAAAACCUAAAAGGCACAAUGAGGCAAAGGCCUAAGAUGGAGGCUGGCUUUGGGAUCUGAAAUCCGGCCACAAUCCUCCUUGUUUUACCUCAAGUCCAAGAAUUGUCAAAAAGAAAACCCAGAAGGGCUAUUCAUUCUAAAUUUUAAAAUCUUUUCUUCCUGG